GCAUGGAAGUUCCAAGCUUGGCUUUCAUGGAAUCGACAGUGAUGGAGGUGUCAUCUCGAGAUCUUCUCAAGAGCAGUGAGUCCAAGUCCUCCAAAGAUCUGGGAGCGAGCGAGCUUUACAGCGUCUGCGGCAGCUGCUCCAUCUCCCGAUUCCGAUGCGUACUCCGCGACCUGAGACUCAGAUAAACUUAAGAACAAAUGAAAAAGAAGGAUCGAUUUUUACAGCACGAAUGUUGCUCCUGAGGGAUCCUGCUGGUCCGGAACGAAGAAGGGACCGUGCGUCUUGAUACUCGACCUUCUCGCCUCCAAGUUUGGCUUCUACUUCCAGCGUCAUCAACGUAAGGAUGAUACCUGGGAUAUAAGUCUCUAGUGGAUCCAGCUUCUUUCUGUGGAAUGGCCCGCUCGAGCAUCUGGAUGGACGAGAAGCAGCCAUUCACUUGUCAGCCCAAUCCAGACCGAGACGAAGUUUUCUCUACCUUCGGUGACGGAAGUGAAGAGUCCAG
Long non-coding RNA from Selaginella moellendorffii, 502 nucleotides. RefSeq lists it as uncharacterized. The transcript has 4 exons. The record is from RefSeq and is a predicted model, not a curated record. Lineage: Eukaryota; Viridiplantae; Streptophyta; Lycopodiopsida; Selaginellales; Selaginellaceae.